Molecule: small nucleolar RNA, 126 nt
Organism: Mastomys coucha (southern multimammate mouse)
Lineage: Eukaryota; Metazoa; Chordata; Mammalia; Rodentia; Muridae
Product: small nucleolar RNA SNORA17
Exons: 1
Source: RefSeq, a predicted model, not a curated record
CCUGUCUGUAGAGGCACUGCAGGUAUGAUCGCUGUGUCACAUGUGCAUCUGUAGGUGGCAGAGAGAACACUGUCUAUGCUCAGUGCUCUGACCUGUGAACAUCUGAACAAUUCGUAACCUAACACU